Molecule: ribosomal RNA, 477 nt
Filed under: uncultured organism
Description: partial 16S ribosomal RNA
Rfam family: Bacterial small subunit ribosomal RNA
Source: RNAcentral
ACACUCCUACGGGAGGCAGCAGUGGGGAAUUUUGGACAAUGGGCGAAAGCCUGAUCCAGCCAUGCCGCGUGCAGGAUGAAGGCCUUCGGGUUGUAAACUGCUUUUGUACGGAACGAAACGGCCUUUUCUAAUAAAGAGGGCUAAUGACGGUACCGUAAGAAUAAGCACCGGCUAACUACGUGCCAGCAGCCGCGGUAAUACGUAGGGUGCAAGCGUUAAUCGGAAUUACUGGGCGUAAAGCGUGCGCAGGCGGUUAUGUAAGACAGUUGUGAAAUCCCCGGGCUCAACCUGGGAACUGCAUCUGUGACUGCAUAGCUAGAGUACGGUAGAGGGGGAUGGAAUUCCGCGUGUAGCAGUGAAAUGCGUAGAUAUACGGAGGAACACCGAUGGCGAAGGCAAUCCCCUGGACCUGUACUGACGCUCAUGCACGAAAGCGUGGGGAGCAAACAGGAUUAGAAACCCCAGUAGUCCCAUGAU